RNAcentral lists this ribosomal RNA (253 nucleotides) under uncultured bacterium. RNAcentral's name for it is "partial 16S ribosomal RNA". It matches the Rfam family "Bacterial small subunit ribosomal RNA", at positions 524 to 776 of the family's 1533-position model. The record is from RNAcentral.
GACGUAGGGCGCAAGCGUUGUCCGGAAUUAUUGGGCGUAAAGAGCUCGUAGGCGGUUUGUCGCGUCGGCUGUGAAAACUCGGGGCUCAACCCCGAGCCUGCAGUCGAUACGGGCAGACUAGAGUGCUGUAGGGGAGACUGGAAUUCCUGGUGUAGCGGUGAAAUGCGCAGAUAUCAGGAGGAACACCGGUGGCGAAGGCGGGUCUCUGGGCAGUAACUGACGCUGAGGAGCGAAAGCGUGGGGAGCAAACAGG